AAUAGAUACCCCGGUAGUCCACGCCGUAAACGAUGAGUGCUAAGUGUUAGAGGGUUUCCGCCCUUUAGUGCUGAAGUUAACGCAUUAAGCACUCCGCCUGGGGAGUACGGCCGCAAGGCUGAAACUCAAAGGAAUUGACGGGGGCCCGCACAAGCGGUGGAGCAUGUGGUUUAAUUCGAAGCAACGCGAAGAACCUUACCAGGUCUUGACAUCCUCUGACAACCCUAGAGAUAGGGCUUCUCCUUCGGGAGCAGAGUGACAGGUGGUGCAUGGUUGUCGUCAGCUCGUGUCGUGAGAUGUUGGGUUAAGUCCCGCAACGAGCGCAACCCUUGAUCUUAGUUGCCAUCAUUAAGUUGGGCACUCUAAGGUGACUGCCGGUGACAAACCGGAGGAAGGUGGGGAUGACGUCAAAUCAUCAUGCCCCUUAUGACCUGGGCUACACACGUGCUACAAUGGGCGGUACAAAGAGCUGCAAGACCGCGAGGUGGAGCUAAUCUCAUAAAACCGUUCUCAGUUCGGAUUGUAGG
This 527-nucleotide ribosomal RNA is filed under the name uncultured bacterium. RNAcentral describes it as "bacterial SSU rRNA". It matches the Rfam family "Bacterial small subunit ribosomal RNA", at positions 777 to 1304 of the family's 1533-position model. The record is from RNAcentral.